UUCCGGUUGAUCCCGCCGGAAGUCACUGCUAUCUGAAUCCGACUAAGCCAUGCAAGUCUUGGGUUAAACCAGGGCAAACUGCUCAGUAACACGUAGUUAACCUGCCCUUAGGUCUGGAAUAAUCCCGGGAAACUGGGGCUAAUGCUGGAUAGGUGAAAACUCCUGGAAUGGUUUUUCACUGAACUAAGGAUGGGACUGCGUCGGAUUAGCUUGUUGCCAGGGUAAAAUCCUGGCAAGGCGAUAAUCUGUACGGGCCUUGAGAGAGGAAGCCCGGAGAUGGAUUCUGAGACAAGAAUCCAGGUCCUACGGGAUGCAGCAGGCGCGAAACUUUCCCAAUGCGCGAAAGCGUGAGGAAGGGAUUCAGAGUGCUUUCUCGUAUUUCGAGGGAGCUUUUCUAGAGUAUAAAAAGCUCUAGGAAUAAGGGGUGGGUAAGACUGGUGCCAGCCGCCGCGGUAAUACCAGCGCCCCGAGUGGUGACCACGCUUAUUGGGCUUAAAGCGUUCGUAGCCGGUUCGGUAAGUUCCUAAUGAAAACCUGCAGCUGACUGCAGGGCUUGUUAGGGAUACUGCCGGGCUUGAGACCGGGAGAGGCUGAGGGUAUUAUUGGGGUAGGGGUUAAAUCCUAUAAUCCCAAUAAGACCACCUGUGGCGAAGGCGCUCAGCCAGAACGGAUCUGACGGUGAGGGACGAAAGCUAGGGGAGCGAAGCGGAUUAGAUACCCGCGUAGUCCUAGCUGUAAACGAUACCCACUAGACAUUGGCAAUCUUACGGGGGUUGCCAGAGUCGUAGGGAAACCGUUAAGUGGGUCGCCUGGGGAGUACGGUCGCAAGGCUGAAACUUAAGGGAAUUGGCGGGGGAGCACACAAGGGGUGGAGGCUGUGGUUUAAUUGGAGUCAACGCCGGCC
Molecule: ribosomal RNA, 904 nt
Filed under: uncultured archaeon
Lineage: Archaea
Description: bacterial SSU rRNA
Rfam family: Archaeal small subunit ribosomal RNA
Source: RNAcentral